ACGGUACACAGGGGGAAAGCUUGCUUUCUUGCUGACGAGUGGCGGACGGGUGAGUAAUGCUUGGGAAUCUGGCUUAUGGAGGGGGAUAACUACUGGAAACGGUAGCUAAUACCGCGUAAUGUCUAUGGACUAAAGGGUGGGACCAUUUGGCCACCUGCCAUAAGAUGAGCCCAAGUGGGAUUAGGUAGUUGGUGAGGUAAGGGCUCACCAAGCCGUCGAUCUCUAGCUGGUCUGAGAGGAUGACCAGCCACACUGGAACUGAGACACGGUCCAGACUCCUACGGGAGGCAGCAGUGGGGAAUAUUGCACAAUGGGGGGAACCCUGAUGCAGCCAUGCCGCGUGAAUGAAGAAGGCCUUCGGGUUGUAAAGUUCUUUCGGUGACGAGGAAGGCGGGUAUUUUAAUAGAAUACCCGAUUGACGUUAAUCACAGAAGAAGCACCGGCUAACUCCGUGCCAGCAGCCGCGGUAAUACGGGGGGUGCGAGCGUUAAUCGGAAUAACUGGGCGUAAAGGGCACGCAGGCGGUUGUUUAAGUGAGGUGUGAAAGCCCCGGGCUUAACCUGGGAAUUGCAUUUCAGACUGGACAACUAGAGUAUUUUAGGGAGGGGUAGAAUUCCACGUGUAGCGGUGAAAUGCGUAGAGAUGUGGAGGAAUACCGAAGGCGAAGGCAGCCCCUUGGGAAUAUACUGACGCUCAUGUGCGAAAGCGUGGGGAGCAAACAGGAUUAGAUACCCUGGUAGUCCACGCCGUAAACGCUGUCGAUUUGGGGAUUGGGCUUUAAGCUU
Molecule: ribosomal RNA, 785 nt
Filed under: Pasteurellaceae bacterium I1
Lineage: Bacteria; Pseudomonadati; Pseudomonadota; Gammaproteobacteria; Pasteurellales; Pasteurellaceae
Description: bacterial SSU rRNA
Rfam family: Bacterial small subunit ribosomal RNA
Source: RNAcentral